RNAcentral lists this ribosomal RNA (253 nucleotides) under uncultured bacterium. RNAcentral's name for it is "partial 16S ribosomal RNA". It matches the Rfam family "Bacterial small subunit ribosomal RNA", at positions 524 to 776 of the family's 1533-position model. The record is from RNAcentral.
UACAGAGGGUGCGAGCGUUAAUCGGAAUUACUGGGCGUAAAGCGUGCGCAGGCGGUGAUGUAAGACAGUUGUGAAAUCCCCGGGCUCAACCUGGGAACUGCAUCUGUGACUGCAUCGCUGGAGUGCGGCAGAGGGGGAUGGAAUUCCGCGUGUAGCAGUGAAAUGCGUAGAUAUGCGGAGGAACACCGAUGGCGAAGGCAAUCCCCUGGGCCUGCACUGACGCUCAUGCACGAAAGCGUGGGGAGCAAACAGG